Molecule: ribosomal RNA, 258 nt
Filed under: uncultured bacterium
Lineage: Bacteria
Description: partial 16S ribosomal RNA
Rfam family: Bacterial small subunit ribosomal RNA
Source: RNAcentral
GACAGAGGGUGCAAACGUUGUUCGGAAUUACUGGGCGUAAAGCGCGUGUAGGCUGCUCGGAAAGUCGGAUGUGAAAGCCCUGGGCUCAACCUAGGAAGUGCAUUCGAAACUUCCGAGCUGGAGUGCUGGAGAGGAAGGCGGAAUUCUCGGUGUAGAGGUGAAAUUCGUAGAUAUCGAGAGGAACACCGGUGGCGAAGGCGGCCUUCUGGACAGUCACUGACGCUGAGACGCGAAAGCGUGGGGAGCAAACAGGAUUAG